Non-coding RNA from Pelobates cultripes (western spadefoot toad), 2600 nucleotides. NCBI's taxonomy places the organism in Eukaryota, Metazoa, Chordata, Amphibia, Anura, Pelobatidae. The record is from the annotation of a GenBank genome assembly.
GUGGCUACUAAAAAAGACUGGACAUACCCCAUUUGCAAUGAGCUCUCUGCUCAGCUCCCUCGUGCGCCACAGAGAGAUGCCGGGAGCCGGGAUAUGACGUCAUAGUCCGGCUCCUGGCAUCACUCUGCGGCGCACGAGGAAGCUGAGCAGAGAGCUCACUAAUCAGUGCUCCCUCACCAGCGUCGCCCGCCCGACUGGAUUUUUAGUUAGCCGCCAGGCUAACAAGACAUUUGCCUGGGCAUUUGCGGGCCUUUUUUUUUUUUGCCGUUCCCUGGAAAAUACCGCCCAAGGCAAAUGCCUUGUUUGCCUCGCGGCUAAUACGUACCUGAUCAUGGAGUUAAUUCUCAUUCCUAGGCUGCCAUACGCUCUCAAAGGCAACGUAACCAAACUGGCAAUUUUCAAUGUAAAAAUAUUUGACCCAUACACACAUAUAUAAUUAUAUUUUUUUAUUAACAUUAACCUUUAUUUUUUAUUUUUUUAUUUUACACUAGCAGGGAGACUGCCUGUCAGCACAGGCAGUCCCCCUGCAAGCAGACACUAGGGGGUCUUAGGACUAGGGGUCCUAAUUCGCCAUGAGGAGACUGUCUGGGCUGCAGGCGGGAGCACCGCCGAUUGCCGCGGGGGGAACGACGGCGAUCGGGUAAGUACAUAUUACCGUUGUGACGGUUCAGGACCGUCAGUUGUCGGCAACGCUAAAAUGCCGAUGACGGUCCUGAACCGUCCUCGGUUGUUAAGGGGUUAAAGGAACACAAACAUGUAUUCCUCACCCUAUAGUGUUAAAACACCAACUAGCCCCCCAUGCUGUUAGGGCCACCCGAUGGAAAUGAAUAACAUCAUCAGAGUGGGCCCGGUAACAGCUCGACCGGGCCACUCUGAUGAUGUCAGACGUUGGGAGGAAGUGACUGCGCUGGUCACUUCUCCCAGCAACCACCAGGAGCCGCACGGGAGGAAGGAGAGAGAGUCAGAGUGAACCACUGGACCCCAGGCAUUUGUGUCUUAUUGUAUGUGUGUGUAUGUAUGUGUGUCUGUGUGUGUGUUUAUGUAUGUGUCUGUAUGUAUCUGUGUGUAUGUGUCUGUGUCCUUGUGUGUUUAUGUGUAUAUGUGUCUGUGUGUCUGUCUGUCUGUGUGUCCAUGUAUGUGUCUGUGUGUGUGUAUGUGUGCCUGUAUGUGUCUGUAUGUAUAUUUUAUCUGUCUGUGUAUGUGUCUGUAUCUGUGUGUGUGUCUGUGUGUGUCUAUGUAUGUGUCUGUAUGUAUCUGUGUGUCUGUGUGUGUCUGUGUGUGUGUGUCUGUCUGUAUGUAUGUAUGUAUGUGUGUCUGUCUGUGUAUGUGUCUGUAUGUAUCUGUGUGUAUGUGUGUGUGUCUGUGUGUGUGUCUAUCUUUGUGACUGUCUGUAUCUAUGUAUGUGUGUGUGUCUGUCUGUAUGUAUGUGUCUCUGUAUGUAUGUGUGUCUGUAAGUAUGUAUGUGCUUCUGUAUGGGGUUGCGGUGGCGGUGGUGGUGGCCAUGGAUCAGUUUUGCACCUGGGCCCCAUGGAUUGUGUGUACGCCACUGAUUGUUAGUGCUCUUAACAACACUGUAUCCACUUGGCACUGGAUGAAAGUAACAAUGCUGUUGUAUUCAUUGUUAUAUUUUAUAGCACUUUACUUUUAAUCACCUACCAACUUUACUAAGUGCUCUCACAGUACUGAUCCCCUGCUGCUCCCUGGUUGAGACCUGCUUUGUAAUAUUAAUGUUUUACUGAUUUUCCUUUUAACAUAUUGCUCUGUCCCAUCACCUUAUUCACACAUUCCUUCGUCGAACGAUCGGUGUAUGCAACCACUUCAGAUUUCCAAGUCUUUAUGAACAAAAUAGCAGAAAAGCAAAUGAAUGUUCAAAUGAAUGCAUGACUGCACAAGUUACUAUCUAUGUGUAGUUUAUAACACCUGGGUUAGCACAAUGUACAGAUGGGAUGUUAUUCCCUUUCAAUAGACACGCAAAGUCAUGUUGGUCACGACAAUUACACUUUUCUUUACAAGGUCAAUGUAAUCUCCGUAAUAAGAGUAUGGCUGUUAUCACCAUCCUAUGUGAUCAGUGGAAUUGCUGCUUAUUAUAAACUACUCAUCCCAUAAUCCUCUACUGAAGAGGGGUUUAUGGGAUAAAAGCAGACCAAAAUGAGAUGCUCCCGUUGGUGAUGGAUUUAUCUGUAUAAUGUCUUAAAAAGUAUAUAUUUCUUUUAACCCCUUAAGGACACAUGACAUGUGUGACAUGUCAUGAUUCCCUUUUAUUCCAGAAGUUUGGUCCUUAAGGGGUUAAAGGAUCGCUAAAAGUACCCAGGCCACUUCAUCUCAAUGGCAUUUUAACCUUUCAAUGUAAAACAUUGCCCUUUUGUAGAAACAACAAAGCUUGCAUUGAAGGGUUAACUAUACCUCUAGUGCAGGCCUGCACUACCUGUAUCCCCCAGAACUACAAUGCCCAUGAUUAUUUGAAUGAAAGAGAUAGCCAGGGAAUCAUGGGAGUUGUAGUUCGAAACAUCUGGUGUGCGGAGGUUAGCUGUCAAUAUUCUUGAACACGCACUCAUUUAUUCUCACACUUUCUCUGUUUCUUUCUUCUGUUUUUAUCACCU